CAGCAAAGACUUCAUUGGGCUUCCACCAAAGGCAGGUCAUCUUCUUCACUAGCAGGAGAAUUACCAAGAGAGGAGGGAGGAGUACCUCAGAGGUCACGUGCUCUGCUGAGGCUAAGACGGUGGUGAUAGGGCUGGCAGCAGACUCGGGCUGCGGGAAGAGCACCUUCAUGAGGAGGCUGACGAGUGUGUUCGGAGGUGCAGCUGAGCCACCCAAGGGAGGAAACCCAGACUCCAACACAUUGAUCAGUGACACCACCACUGUCAUAUGCCUGGAUGACUACCACUCCUUGGACAGAACCGGGAGGAAGGAGAAGGGUGUCACUGCUCUGGACCCGAGGGCCAACAACUUCGACCUCAUGUAUGAGCAGGUGAAGGCUCUCAAGGAUGGAGUUGCCGUUGACAAGCCCAUCUACAACCAUG
This 420-nucleotide long non-coding RNA is filed under the name Musa acuminata (dwarf banana). RNAcentral's name for it is "long non-coding RNA (MACU_LNC002204)". Lineage: Eukaryota; Viridiplantae; Streptophyta; Magnoliopsida; Zingiberales; Musaceae. The record is from RNAcentral.